RNAcentral lists this ribosomal RNA (478 nucleotides) under uncultured bacterium. RNAcentral describes it as "partial 16S ribosomal RNA". It matches the Rfam family "Bacterial small subunit ribosomal RNA", at positions 28 to 523 of the family's 1533-position model. The record is from RNAcentral.
GACGAACGCUGGCGGCGUGCUUAACACAUGCAAGUCGAACGGUAAGGCCCUUCGGGGUACACGAGUGGCGAACGGGUGAGUAACACGUGGGUGAUCUGCCCUGCACUUCGGGAUAAGCCUGGGAAACUGGGUCUAAUACCGGAUAGGACCACUGCCUGCAUGGGUGGGGGUGGAAAGCUUUUGCGGUGUGGGAUGGGCCCGCGGCCUAUCAGCUUGUUGGUGGGGUGAUGGCCUACCAAGGCGACGACGGGUAGCCGGCCUGAGAGGGUGACCGGACACACUGGGACUGAGAUACGGCCCAGACUCCUACGGGAGGCAGCAGUGGGGAAUAUUGCACAAUGGGCGCAAGCCUGAUGCAGCGACGCCGCGUGAGGGAUGACGGCCUUCGGGUUGUAAACCUCUUUCAGCACCGACGAAGCGCAAGUGACGGUAGGUGCAGAAGAAGGACCGGCCAACUACGUGCCAGCAGCCGCGGUAA